UACAGAGGGUGCAAGCGUUGUUCGGAAUUAUUGGGCGUAAAGGGCGCGUAGGCGGUGCUAUAAGUCUGUGGUGAAAUCUCAGGGCUCAACCCUGAAAUUGCGACCAAUACUGGUCGACUAGAGUGCAAGAGAGGAAGGUGGAAUUCCCGGUGUAGUAGUGAAAUGCGUAGAUAUCGGGAGGAACACCAGUGGCGAAGGCGGCCUUCUGGCUUGCAACUGACGCUGUAGCGCGAAAGCGUGGGGAGCGAACCGG
RNAcentral lists this ribosomal RNA (253 nucleotides) under uncultured bacterium. RNAcentral describes it as "partial 16S ribosomal RNA". It matches the Rfam family "Bacterial small subunit ribosomal RNA", at positions 524 to 776 of the family's 1533-position model. The record is from RNAcentral.